This 73-nucleotide transfer RNA is filed under the name Anaerolineae bacterium. RNAcentral describes it as "tRNA-Arg". It matches the Rfam family "tRNA". From Rfam's summary of the family: Transfer RNA (tRNA) molecules are approximately 80 nucleotides in length. Their secondary structure includes four short double-helical elements and three loops (D, anti-codon, and T loops). The record is from RNAcentral. Lineage: Bacteria; Bacillati; Chloroflexota; Anaerolineae.
GCCCCUAUAGCUCAGUGGACAGAGCAACGGCCUUCUAAGCCGUGGGUCGCAGGUUCGAAUCCUGCUGGGGGCG